RNAcentral lists this long non-coding RNA (216 nucleotides) under Setaria italica (foxtail millet). Its description in RNAcentral is "long non-coding RNA (SITA_LNC005883)". The record is from RNAcentral. Lineage: Eukaryota; Viridiplantae; Streptophyta; Magnoliopsida; Poales; Poaceae.
CUAGUACAUUAGUCCUUCUUGAAGAAAGUAAUUGGCACCUCAGAACAUUUGAGGAAUGUUGUUAUCGCAUGUUCAAUGGACAUAAUCUCUUGAAGGGCGAGCUUCUGGGACCACUUAGUAGCAGUACUCAGUGUGCCACCAAAAAUGACAUUGAUGGUGUUGGAUGCAUUCUGGAAUUGGUUGUUGUCACCAUUGUCUUCAUCUUCCUUGGCCUUG